This 944-nucleotide long non-coding RNA is filed under the name Olea europaea (common olive). RNAcentral's name for it is "long non-coding RNA (OEUR_LNC007884)". Lineage: Eukaryota; Viridiplantae; Streptophyta; Magnoliopsida; Lamiales; Oleaceae. The record is from RNAcentral.
GGGGGGAGUGGAUUUGAAGUCAAACAUUAUUGUAACUUUGUAAUUCCUCUCAUACAAAACAACAAGGGCUUUGGUAAAAAAAAGGCCCAUUUUAAUUAUAUAUAUACACGCAUGCCGGCAGAAAGGGUAGAAAUAAAAAUUGGUGGGUGACUUGGCUGGAAUUACCCUCAAAUUCAAGCAUUGAAAAUAAAAGAGGCCUACCAUUGGAAGAGAAUUGAAUAGAAGCACAUACAAUUGUUGGCAGCGACAAGAGGAGAAUACAUAAAAGUAGCUGCCUCGUGAAAUUAUAGGGGAGAAACCAAGAGCCAACUGGUGAAAGACCAAAGGACUGUCUGGUGAGAAAUUGGAGAAGAAUUAGAGUUUGUCUAGGAGUCCAACAUUGUUGCUGUAGGGAAUAAAAAGGUGUGGCUGAAUCAGAUGUUAUAUACAUACGAAUUGGUGAUCGGCAAAAAAGAAAUCAAGGAAGAAGUGGGUUGAUUUUUAUAUAUAUACACACACAUCAAUAAAUGGCGAUUAGGCAGGAGGAGAGUUUUGGCUGGAAUUACAUACAUACACGCUAACUGGGAAUUAGACACACACUUACAAAGGGACGACUGCCUUGGAGAAAUCAACACAUACGCGCGCAAAAGUCGAGCAAAUUUGUGGAAUUAAUCACGUUUCGUCAAUUUCUCGGUGAUGUCUUUCCAAUUUUAUGUGUUUAAUUUCAAUAUUAUGCUAGGCUAAUUUUGCAUUCUUAAUUUUAUUAUUUGAUUGCUUGAUCACCAAUUAAAUAUAUUGUUGCUUGUUGUAGUGUUGGGAGACUCACAAUAGGUAUAGAACACUGCUUAAUUAACAUGCGUGCAAUAAAUUUUAGGAAUAAGAUUUAUUACGUGUGCAAUCUUUGAGAUAAUUGUGAAAUUUAAUAUGUUCUAUUCACAUGAAUUUGAACUAGAAAUAGGAUCGGG